GUGAAUCAUCGAAUUUUUGAACGCAUAUUGCACUCUCUGGUAUUCCGGAGAGUAUUCCUGUUUGAGGGUAAUUAAAAAGAAUCUUUAACCAAUUUUUUUUUUGGUCAAGGGAAAUGAUUUCUCCGCUUUUAUAUCGGUAGCUUGAAAUAAAUGGUCAAGUCUCAUUUUAGUCGAGCCGCGUAGUAAGAUUAUUUCGCAAAAUCUUCAUUAUUUGACUAUCAAGUUUUGAUGCAUACAAAUUUGGUUGUAGUACGUUCAAUCCAAAUAUUUAGAAUAUUA
RNAcentral lists this unclassified non-coding RNA (279 nucleotides) under Ambisporaceae sp. RNAcentral's name for it is "partial contains 5.8S ribosomal RNA and internal transcribed spacer 2". The stretch from base 1 to 71 matches the Rfam family "5.8S ribosomal RNA", at positions 84 to 154 of the family's 154-position model. The record is from RNAcentral. Lineage: Eukaryota; Fungi; Glomeromycota; Glomeromycetes; Archaeosporales; Ambisporaceae.